This 1983-nucleotide long non-coding RNA is filed under the name Homo sapiens (human). Its description in RNAcentral is "HSALNT0358536". The record is from RNAcentral. Lineage: Eukaryota; Metazoa; Chordata; Mammalia; Primates; Hominidae.
GGAGGAGGAGCUGGCGCGGCGGCCACGGGCGCCCAGCGCGCCUUCUCGGCGCCUGGAGCCAGACGCGAGUAAUCCUGGGUGGCCCGCAGCGGAGCCGUGGCCGGGCUAGAGGAGCCGGCUGGACUGCGGGAGUGCCGGGCGGCUCGCGGUGUCCGCCUCGGGCUGCUCCCCUGCGCUGCGUUCUCGCGGCCCCGCGCCGGCGCUGCGCUCUGCGAUGCGAGCCGCUGCGUGUCCAGCCGGGGCUCUGGCGAGGAAACUCACUUCAAAAGCAGCUGCACCAAGGGGGAGAUUAAAGCCUUUGCCGCCUUCCAAUCAAAUGGGAGCCCGAGGUGAUUGGAGGGUCAAGGGGAUGUGACGCGUCCCGCGCCGCCGCCGCCGCCGCUGCCAGGACUCUCAGUGCCGGUUUUAAUGGGCAGCUCCCUCUUCGCCGCCCCCCUGUGUGUCCCCUCCCUCGAUUUCGCUGGGAGGACGAGAUGGACAUUUAUUCUACGUUUGCCAUCCGCCGCCUCCCUCUUUUUUCCUCCUCGUCGUUCUUCCUUUCCCCAGCUCGAAAAUAAACUGAAACCUUCUUUUGAAGGGGGGUGCGCGUGAGGAACAGACUGCGGGGGGUGUCCAGAAGGAGCACCGGUGGGAGUGUGGACACCGGCCGGACUGUCAACUCCAGGGGCGAAGGGAACCUGCACACCCAGUGUUUUUUCCUUCGCAGUAAUCGAGAUCCCGCGCGGCGCAGCGCAGCCACCAGGAAUCGACGGGAUUUCUCUGGCUGUCGUUUGCGCUGCAUUUAUCCGAAUACAUCCAGCUCGCAGGCAUCCUGCAAGAAACGGCUCCCGGCUCGCGUGUACGCCGACACCUCGGCCCAACGCAGGACUCGAGGUGGUUUCUAGUGCCCGGGUGGCUGCAAGUCUGCCCUCCGAGGGAGGCUGGACAAGCGGCGCCCCCAGGUCGAGCGGCCUCUCGCUGCCUGGCAGUGCCUGGCAGCCCCCACCUCUGCCAGUGCUUCGGAAACCCGCCUGGCCAGGUUCGCCCGCGGUGAAAAAUGAAAGCAAAUUCCCCAACAGAGGUAGCCGGAACUUUCCUCGACGAAGGCUCCCUCCUGCGCCUGUGUCUGGAGAACCCCCAGAGCGCUGCAAGUUAGCAAGAGAGAUUCGAUGGCGGCUCUGGAAGGCGCACGAAGGGUGGGGCGGGGGAGCAAAGAGGCCACUGGGUGACCCAGCCUGGUCCGGGGUGAAACGCUAGAGAAGGCGCCUCGCCUUCCUUAUUUCAAUGCAACUCCUCGGCCCCAGACGGUAAAAAUAGUUUCCAAGCUGCCGCGGACGCCCAGGAUGUGUUUGCAGAGAUCAAACUGGGGAGGAGGCAGCUUUGUAAAAGUUGCAGAAAGAUUAGCCGAGAAGCGUCCGCCCGGCGGGGCUCAAGAAAGCUUGGGGACAGCUCCAUGUUCCUUGGGGCGGAAUGGCCCAAGAAUUGGCCUGGGUAACCCCCUGCCCAGUUCUCUGUCCUCACUUCGAGCCAGUGCUUAAAUAACUUCCCGCCGCCUGCCCUGCAAACUUCCCGGCGCGGCGCCGUUGAGGCCAGGACACAGCAAAGGCUAGCAAAACCCCGCCGCGGCGCGCUCGGCCCCGGCCCUGAGAGGCUGCGCGGGUGGGAGGACCAGUGUGGUUUCUGCUCCCACUCGGCUGCCCAGACCCUCAAGACCGAUCCCCCAACUCCUGGGAGCGGGUGCUUCCCUCUGGGAGCCGAGAUCUUGCGGGGCCAGCGAGGGCGCAAAGUGCGCGCGCUGGCCCGCGCGGGGGCGGCCGCGCGUCUCUCCGCGGGGCCUGUCGCCAGGCCGGCCGCGGCGCGUGAGUGAUGAGGGCAGAGAAGGGCGCCCAUAAAUCGCGGGUGUCAGGGCGAAAAACUCUCUUUAUUGUCUGCGUGAUGGAUGGGCCCGGGGACGAGACACCAAAUACUUCGUAUCGCCUUUAAAUGGGAACACAUUUUCCGCGG